GGAUUAGGCAUGCGAGUCGCGCGAGAAUGUAGCAAUACAGGAAAGCGGCGAAAGGGAGAGGACAACAUAGGAAUCUGCCCUGGGGUCGAGGAUAGCGUCGGGAAACUGACGGUAAUACUCGAUGAUAUCUUUGGAUCAAAGGAGCAAUCUGCCCCGGGAUGAGCCUAUGCCCCAUUAGCUAGUUGGCGGUGUAAUGGACCACCAAGGCUGUGAUGGGUAGCUGGUGUGAGAGCACGACCAGCCUCACUGGCACUGAGACACUGGCCAGACACCUACGGGUGGCUGCAGUCGAGAAUCUUCGGCAAUGGACGAAAGUCUGACCGAGCGACGCCGCGUGUGGGAUGAAGGUCUUCGGAUUGUAAACCACUGUCGAGGGGGAUUAAGGGCAACUUGAAAGAACCCUGGAGGAAGGGGAGGCUAAGCUCGUGCCAGCAGCCGCGGUAAGACGAGCUCCCCAAACGUUAUUCGGUGUCACUGGGCUUAAAGAGUUCGUAGGCGGCGAAGUAGGUGAGGUGUGAAAGCCCUCGGCUCAACCGAGGAACUGCGCUUCAAACCGCUUUGCUAGAGGGAGAUAGGGGUAAGCGGAACAGAUGGUGGAGCGGUGAAAUGUGUUGAUAUCAUCUGGAACACCGGUGGCGAAAGCGGCUUACUGGGUCUUUUCUGACGCUGAGGAACGAAAGCUAGGGUAGCGAACGGGAUUAGAUACCCCGGUAGUCCUAGCCGUAAACGAUGAGCACUAGUCUGAGGGACUUUCACGGUU
This 760-nucleotide ribosomal RNA is filed under the name uncultured Planctomycetota bacterium. RNAcentral's name for it is "bacterial SSU rRNA". It matches the Rfam family "Bacterial small subunit ribosomal RNA", at positions 46 to 839 of the family's 1533-position model. The record is from RNAcentral. Lineage: Bacteria; Pseudomonadati; Planctomycetota.